Long non-coding RNA from Rosa chinensis, 1603 nucleotides. RefSeq lists it as uncharacterized. NCBI's taxonomy places the organism in Eukaryota, Viridiplantae, Streptophyta, Magnoliopsida, Rosales, Rosaceae. The transcript is spliced from 11 exons. The record is from RefSeq and is a predicted model, not a curated record.
CUAUUUUACAUUUUCCUUGGUGAAUUUUCAAGCGGGAAGUUUUCAGAGUCGAAAAAUUUCGCUGUCUCCAAAAAGUUACAGGCGCGCUUCCAAUUCCUGAAUGAAAGAUGGAUAUUGUGAUACCCAUCUUGUUCUUCUCUCACUUCGAUUUUGACUCCGACUCCAACUCAAAUCUUCUCCGACUCAUACCCAUCGACUCUGAGUCCGACUCAGAUCUUCUCCUCUGCUCCUGUUGCCUUCUCCACUGCUCCUAUUGUUUCAUGAAGCAAUUUGGUACUUGAGUUAAUUUUAGGGAUUAGCUGGAGACGACGAAGAAGGAUUGACAAAUAAACGAUUGGCUUUUCGUAUUUCUGGGUCUGUCUUAACAAAGACUUAUGACAUGAUUGACGAGGAUUUACCCAUUUUAAGAAAAGCAAUAGGGACUGAUAUACAAUGGUAUAGUUGAACACGUUUGACACCAAAGCUCAAUGAGAAGAGGCUUUACGAGGGCACUAACAAUUGGGGAAGUUUCUUCAACUUCUUCAGUCCACCCGAAGUCCCCAGAGUUAUAGAUGGAAAAGCGGUUUCUGAACUUAUUAGGAGGAUGAUUCCAAGUCAUACUAGUAUGAUUGUUCCAAAUGAUACAUGUGUUCUUUAAAUUCCCAAAUUCUGUGUUCGUUUGUUGUUUGGACCAUUAUACUGAGUAACUGAGGUAUUCCACUUUUUUUUUUCCUUAUGUUCUUGACAUUGUUCUUUACAGGUCAACCAUUCGAGAGGUCAUUCCCCAUGUUGUGUCAUGGUUUGCAAAAAAUGGACCAACUUCUGCCACCUCUCUCCUCGGUAGUUCACCUAUCAGAAUAUCCAAUCUUGCCUCUGGAGGAGUUCUCAACGACCAGGCAGUGCUAGUGAGCACUUUCAAUGAUAAGAUGCCGAUUUUGGAUGGGCAGGACUCUAUGAUCCUGAGGAGCCUUUGACAUAUCCAGGCAUGAUUAUCACUAUCUUGAUUGAGGAAACUUGAUAAACUAGAGGAAGAGUUUUUCAAAAAGAGAGGAGCACUUAGAGCCAAGUAUGAAGAAUUGUAUGAACAUCUCUACAACAAGAUAUCAUACAUGCAAAUCGUGCUCAAGUGAGGGAGUCAAAUCAAGGUAGAUCAAGCAGUAAGACAAGCAAUGCAACUUGCAGAGUGUUGAUGGCUGCAAAGUCUACUGCAGCUCAGCAAUGAGGAGUUAGAGAUAGUCAAAGCUGGUGUCGCUCAGCAAAAUGAAGAGUUAGAGGCAGUGAAGGCUAGAGCCGCUGCACAAAAUGAAGAGUUGGAGGCACUAAAGGCAAGACAAAAUAAUAACGACAUACUUUUACUUAAAUUGACGGCGCAGUUAUCCUCUCAAAACUGAUGAUUGGUCUAAGCUUCAAAAAAGUACGUCUUGCAAACUUCCAUUGAAGGCUUAUUGAACUUCUAGAAAGACUUGUAUGUAUUUCGAUUUAUUUUGAAAUUGCUAUUAAGGAUGGAUAUUGACAUUUGUAUAUUUUGGAUUUGCAAAUUUAAUUAGUAUUUCAGGAUAGAGAUACAUGUCUUAUAUUGUUUUAAUAUUGAUAUAUAACUGGUUUUUGAGUACAUUUGAUUUUA